GUCCACGCUGUAAACGAUGGGCACUAGGUGUCGGCUGUUAUGGUCGGCGCCGUAGCUAACGCAUUAAGUGCCCCACCUGGGAAGUACGACCGCAAGGUUGAAACUCAAAGGAAUUGACGGGGGCCCGCACAAGCGGUGGAGUAUGUGGUUUAAUUCGAUGCAACGCGAAGAACCUUACCUGGGCUUGACAUGCUGGUUACCAACCUGAAAGGGAAGGGAUCCCGGCUUGCCGGGAAGCCAGCACAGGUGCUGCAUGGCUGUCGU
This 264-nucleotide ribosomal RNA is filed under the name uncultured bacterium. Its description in RNAcentral is "partial 16S ribosomal RNA". It matches the Rfam family "Bacterial small subunit ribosomal RNA", at positions 793 to 1055 of the family's 1533-position model. The record is from RNAcentral.